RNAcentral lists this ribosomal RNA (876 nucleotides) under uncultured archaeon. RNAcentral describes it as "bacterial SSU rRNA". It matches the Rfam family "Archaeal small subunit ribosomal RNA", at positions 21 to 903 of the family's 1478-position model. The record is from RNAcentral.
GGUCACUGCUAUUGGGAUUCGACUAAGCCAUGCGAGUCGAGAGGGUUCGGCCCUCGGCCGACGGCUCAGUAACACGUGGAUAAUCUGACCUUAGGUGGAGGAUACUCUCGGGAAACUGAGAAUAAUACUCCAUAGGCCUAGGAUGCUGGAAUGCACUUAGGCUCAAAGCUCCGGCGCCUAAGGAUGAGUCUGCGGACUAUCAGGUUGUAGUCAGGGUAAUGACCUGACUAGCCUACGACGGAUACGGGUUGUGAGAGCAAUAACCCGGAGAUGAUAUCUGAGACACGAUAUCAGGCCCUACGGGGCGCAGCAGGCGCGAAAACUUCACAAUGUGUGAAAGCACGAUGAGGGAAUCCCAAGUGCUUGCAUGUAAGUGUAAGCUGUUUUUAUGUUUAAAACGCAUAGAGAGUAAGAGCUGGGUAAGACGGGUGCCAGCCGCCGCGGUAAUACCUGCAGCUCGAGUGGUGGCCACUAUUAUUGGGCCUAAAACGUCCGUAGCCGGUUUAAUAAAUGCCUGGGUAAAUCGUGUAGCUUAACUAUACGAAUUCCGGGUAGACUGCUAAACUUGAGACCGGGAGAAGCUAGAGGUACUCCUGGGGUAGAGGUGAAAUUCUGUAAUCCUAGGGGGACCACCAGUGGCGAAGGCGUCUGGCUAGAACGGGUCUGACGGUGAGGGACGAAGCCCUGGGGCGCAAACCGGAUUAGAUACCCGGGUAGUCCAGGGUGUAAACGCUGCUUGCUUGAUGUUAGUUGGGCUCCGAGCCCAAUUAGUGUCGGAGAGAAGUUGUUAAGCAAGCUGCCUGGGAAGUACGGCCGCAAGACUGAAACUUAAAGGAAUUGGCGGGGGAGCACAGCAACGGGUGGAGCGUGCGGUUU